RNAcentral lists this ribosomal RNA (360 nucleotides) under Triticum aestivum (bread wheat). Its description in RNAcentral is "partial small subunit ribosomal RNA". The record is from RNAcentral. Lineage: Eukaryota; Viridiplantae; Streptophyta; Magnoliopsida; Poales; Poaceae.
AUGGCUCGAUAUUGGUGGAGCAGCUCAGUGGAUCUGAGGUCCUUACACUGGAUCGACUGGGACUCUCUGACCAGACCAAAGAUUGCGGGCGGGAUGGGAUUCAGGAAGUUGGAUUUGUUCAAUCUAGCUCUCCUUGGAAAGCACGGCUGGAUGCUUAUAACGAAUCCAGAUUCUCUGUGCGCGCGCGUUUUGAAAGGAAAAUACUUCCCCACAAGGGAGUUUGUGGAUGCGACAAUUCCUAAACAUGCGUCAGCCACCUGGAGGGCAAUAGUUGCAGGGAGGCAGGCCCUGGAAACUGGCUUGGUAAAAAGAAUUGGCGAUGGCUCGUCUGUGUCCACUUGGCAUGAUAGCUGGAUACCA